This 72-nucleotide transfer RNA is filed under the name Candidatus Nealsoniibacteriota bacterium. RNAcentral describes it as "tRNA-Gly". It matches the Rfam family "tRNA". Rfam says of the family: Transfer RNA (tRNA) molecules are approximately 80 nucleotides in length. Their secondary structure includes four short double-helical elements and three loops (D, anti-codon, and T loops). The record is from RNAcentral. Lineage: Bacteria; Candidatus Nealsoniibacteriota. RNAcentral also lists the same sequence under 1 other name.
GCGGGUGUCGUAUAGUGGCCAUUACACUGCCUUGCCAAGGCAGCGAGGUGGGUUCGACUCCCAUCACCCGCU